GGCUGGUCCGAAGGCAGUGGGUAUUUACAAGAUUGCUACAGUCAGUUUCAGAAUCCUUGUUUCUUCUCUCCCCUCUCCCAUUGUCGAACUUGACCAGCUUUUU
This is a Y RNA of Pygocentrus nattereri (red-bellied piranha), 103 nucleotides long. It matches the Rfam family "Y RNA". Rfam says of the family: Y RNAs are components of the Ro ribonucleoprotein particle (Ro RNP), in association with Ro60 and La proteins. The Y RNAs and Ro60 and La proteins are well conserved, but the function of the Ro RNP is not known. NCBI's taxonomy places the organism in Eukaryota, Metazoa, Chordata, Actinopteri, Characiformes, Serrasalmidae. The record is from Ensembl.